ACUGUGGGAACGACCAGGUUGCCUUGGGCUUCUCUUAAGCUUCUGAGAGGACAGAUGGACGGGUUGGCUUAGGGGCUUCCCUCGUGCGACCCCCCAAGGGCCUGAGGCUCUUCCCCUUGGGACGUAAAGAGCGGUUCGCUGGGUAGACCAGGCCGGGACUCUGGUUGUCAACAGGCGGGGGCAGGCCAGGGUCACUCUAAAUGCUUUUGAGGAAUAGUUUUAAUGCCAUUGGGGUGGCCAGGGGCUAUGGAAAGUUCUAGGUUGCUUUAGGCUGAUCUUGAUCCCAGAGCAGGCCAUUGGGCAGGCCAGAGGGCUUCCCUUGCAUCCACAGGGCGGGCUGACGGGCUUGGCCUUGAGUGAAAACCGUGGGCCUAAUGGCUGCCUCACACGGCCACGUCCUCUGAGCCAGGCCGCUGGGCCGCAGGGAGCCCUGGAGAACCAGACCCCCGGGGUGCAGAGCCAAAUUUUUGGGCGUUUUUUGCCCAUUUAGGUUCUGCUUCAUUCUUGGUUUUAAUUUUUUUUUUAACAUGAGUUUAUUUUUAAAGUGUUUAAAUUCCAUAAAUUCAUUUUAAAGUUUUUAAAGUCUACCACCCCUUUUCUGUUUUAUAGCCCUUUUCUCUCAAACUUGAAUCAUUUGGUUAAUCAUGCCCAAGGAAGAGUCAGCAGUCACUUUUUAUCAUACAGGGGCUUGGAGCUGGGUGUGAAGUAUCUUUUAUUCAUUGAUAUCUGGAAAACAAAUUUCUUUUACAGUGGCCCUAAAGUGAGUGGGAGAUAAAGGAUCAAUCUCCUUGGUUCUGGAAAAGACAAAGGCAAGCGUUGACGGAAAGAUGUUUCAUAACAAUGUUGCGGACCAUAAGCUAAAGGUGGAAGCCAUAAUUAAAAAUAUUAAUACAAUUUCUUUGGAGUUAAAGAAGAUGAAAGAACUCUCCCAGUUACUGCUUUGUGACCUCACUCUGCAGUUUAAUCGUCCUGUGAAGACAGAGGACGCACAGGAAGCAGAAAGAAGCAAUCCUCUCUUUGAAGAAUCUGAAAUAACAGAUGCACCCCUUUCUUCUAACAGUUUUUCUGUCUGAUUUCUUGUUAAUGUCUGUUUUUAUUAUUGAAUUAUCUGGGAGUAUUGAGUUUAUUAAUAUACUUACUAUAAAAAAACCAAAAUAAAAAUAAUGUGAAGUUGUAAAUAA
Oryctolagus cuniculus (rabbit) is the source of this 1181-nucleotide non-coding RNA. The record is from RefSeq and is a predicted model, not a curated record. Lineage: Eukaryota; Metazoa; Chordata; Mammalia; Lagomorpha; Leporidae.